RNAcentral lists this ribosomal RNA (247 nucleotides) under uncultured bacterium. Its description in RNAcentral is "partial 16S ribosomal RNA". It matches the Rfam family "Bacterial small subunit ribosomal RNA", at positions 109 to 354 of the family's 1533-position model. The record is from RNAcentral.
AGUAACGCGUGGGUAACCUGCCUCAUACAGGGGGAUAGCAUCGGGAAACUGGUGGUAAAACCGCAUAAGCGCACGAAGACGCAUGUAUUCGUGUGAAAAGGAGAAAUCUGGUAUGAGAUGGACCCGCGUCUGAUUAGCUAGUUGGAGUGGUAAAAGCACACCAAGGCGACGAUCAGUAGCCGGCCUGAGAGGGUGGACGGCCACAUUGGGACUGAGACACGGCCCAGACUCCUACGGAAGGCAGCAG